Molecule: ribosomal RNA, 253 nt
Filed under: uncultured bacterium
Lineage: Bacteria
Description: partial 16S ribosomal RNA
Rfam family: Bacterial small subunit ribosomal RNA
Source: RNAcentral
UACGUAGGGUGCGAGCGUUAAUCGGAAUUACUGGGCGUAAAGCGUGCGCAGGCGGUUCGUUGUGUCGGUGGUGAAAUCCCCGGGCUUAACCUGGGAAUGGCCAUGGAAACUGGCGAACUGGAGUGCGGCAGAGGGGGGUGGAAUUCCGCGUGUAGCAGUGAAAUGCGUAGAGAUGCGGAGGGACACCGAUGGCGAAGGCAGCCCCCUGGGCUAGCACUGACGCUCAGGCACGAAAGCGUGGGGAGCAAACAGG